RNAcentral lists this ribosomal RNA (466 nucleotides) under uncultured bacterium. RNAcentral's name for it is "partial 16S ribosomal RNA". It matches the Rfam family "Bacterial small subunit ribosomal RNA", at positions 28 to 506 of the family's 1533-position model. The record is from RNAcentral.
GAUGAACGCUGGCGGCGCGCCUAACACAUGCAAGUCGAACGAUUAAAGCACCUUCGGGUGUGUAUAAAGUGGCGAACGGCUGAGUAACACGUGGGCAACCUGCCCCUUUCAUUGGGAUAGCCGCGGGAAACCGUGGAUAAUACCGAAUACUUCGAGACUUCCGCAUGGAAGACUCGAGAAAGCUCCGGCGGAGAGGGAUGGGCCCGCGGCCUGUUAGCUUGUUGGUGGGGUAACGGCCUACCAAGGCAAUGAUGGGUAGCUGGGUUGAGAGACCGACCAGCCAGAUUGGGACUGAGACACGGCCCAGACUCCUACGGGAGGCAGCAGUGGGGAAUCUUGCACAAUGGGCGAAAGCCUGAUGCAGCGACGCCGCGUGCGGGAUGAAGGCCUUCGGGUUGUAAACCGCUUUCAGCAGGGACGAGGCGAAAGUGACGGUACCUGCAGAAGAAGCCCCGGCUAACUACGU